UACGUAGGGGGCAAGCGUUGUCCGGAUUUAUUGGGCGUAAGGAGCGUGUAGGCGGCCAGAUAGGUCAGCUGUGAAAACUCGAGGCUCAACCUCGAGAUGUCGGCUGAAACCAUCUGGCUAGAGUCCGGAAGAGGAGAAUGGAAUUCCCGGUGUAGCGGUGAAAUGCGCAGAUAUCGGGAAGAACACCCGUGGCGAAGGCGGUUCUCUGGGACGGUACUGACGCUGAGACGCGAAAGCGUGGGGAGCGAACAGG
Molecule: ribosomal RNA, 253 nt
Filed under: uncultured bacterium
Lineage: Bacteria
Description: partial 16S ribosomal RNA
Rfam family: Bacterial small subunit ribosomal RNA
Source: RNAcentral